GCCGGAAUAGCUCAGUUGGUAGAGCGACUGAUUCGUAAUCAGUAGGUCCGCGGUUCGAUUCCGCGUUCCGGCACCA
Molecule: transfer RNA, 76 nt
Filed under: Pseudomonadales bacterium
Lineage: Bacteria; Pseudomonadati; Pseudomonadota; Gammaproteobacteria; Pseudomonadales
Also listed under: 8 other names
Description: tRNA-Thr
Rfam family: tRNA
About the family: Transfer RNA (tRNA) molecules are approximately 80 nucleotides in length. Their secondary structure includes four short double-helical elements and three loops (D, anti-codon, and T loops).
Source: RNAcentral